CGAGAUCCAGGCUGCCGUUCGUGCUUUCAGGUCUGUUUUUGAUGAGGAGAUCAGCAAGCGUGAUUUGGACGAGGAGAAGAGAGCUGUCCUCCGUGCUGUUCAGACUGAGUUCGGACAGGCUUUGGAGCUCGCCCUUCAGCAGGCUGUAGAACAGGUCAACUCUGCCGUGGCCCAUGGACAGAAGGUCACCAGUGAGAUGCUGGCGAAGGUUGCCAAUUACACCGAG
This is a long non-coding RNA of Lingula anatina, 226 nucleotides long. The record is from RefSeq and is a predicted model, not a curated record. NCBI's taxonomy places the organism in Eukaryota, Metazoa, Brachiopoda, Lingulata, Lingulida, Lingulidae.